UACAGAGGUGGCAAGCGUUGUUCGGAAUUACUGGGCGUAAAGGGCGCGUAGGCGGCCCACUAAGUCAGACGUGAAAUCCCCCGGCUUAACCUGGGAACUGCGUCUGAUACUGGAUGGCUUGAGUUCGGGAGAGGGAUGCGGAAUUCCAGGUGUAGCGGUGAAAUGCGUAGAUAUCUGGAGGAACACCGGUGGCGAAGGCGGCAUCCUGGACCGACACUGACACUGAGGAGCGAAAGCCAGGGGAGCAAACGGG
This 253-nucleotide ribosomal RNA is filed under the name uncultured bacterium. Its description in RNAcentral is "partial 16S ribosomal RNA". It matches the Rfam family "Bacterial small subunit ribosomal RNA", at positions 524 to 776 of the family's 1533-position model. The record is from RNAcentral.